Molecule: long non-coding RNA, 246 nt
Filed under: Lathyrus oleraceus (garden pea)
Lineage: Eukaryota; Viridiplantae; Streptophyta; Magnoliopsida; Fabales; Fabaceae
Description: Pisum sativum (pea) long non-coding RNA (PSAT_LNC000031)
Source: RNAcentral
UUUGUUGGUUCGGAGUUUGAUGUAAGUCCAGCGAUUGGCAUUCGGUUUCCAUGUUUGCCUGUUUGUGUGGAGUCUGAUGUAAGCCCAACGAUUGGCAGUCGGUUUCUUGCGUGUGUGUUUUGUUUCGGCGUGCGUGAGCCGAACUACGGUAGCUCUGAUUCUCAUUCCAGAUGAGAUACGUAGGCAUAUGAUGCGAUAUCCUAGCGAGCCCGCUCCCCCUUUUUUUUCCAUCUGUGUUGUUUCCAG